CCUCGUCGCGACCGGCCCGGGCCGCAGGACGCCGCGCUCGGGGGAGCUGAGCCACCUCUCCGCCAGGCCCGUGCGAGCGGGCAGCAGCCACAUUGGCAGUGAGGCCGUGGCAGCGUCGGCAGCAGAGGAUGCCCCAGGCCCUGGAGCGUGCAGAUGGCAGCUGGGCCUGGGUGGUGCUGCUGGCCACCAUGGUGACCCAGGGCCUCACCCUGGGCUUCCCCACGUGUAUCGGCAUCUUCUUCACUGAACUGCAAUGGGAGUUCCAGGCCAGCAACAGCGAGACCUCUUGGUUCCCCUCCAUCCUCACGGCUGUGCUCCACAUGGCAGGGCCCCUGUGCAGCAUCCUGGUGGGACGCUUCGGCUGCCGAGUGACCGUGAUGCUGGGGGGCGUGCUGGCCAGCCUGGGCAUGGUGGCCAGCUCCUUCUCUCACAACCUCAGCCAGCUCUACUUCACAGCAGGAUUCAUCACAGGUGGAAGGCCCUAGUGCGCCUCCAGGCUGGUUUCCCCUCUUGCCCCGCAGGCCUGGGCAUGUGCUUCAGCUUCCAGUCAAGCA
RNAcentral lists this small RNA (554 nucleotides) under Pan troglodytes (chimpanzee). RNAcentral's name for it is "processed transcript". Lineage: Eukaryota; Metazoa; Chordata; Mammalia; Primates; Hominidae. The record is from RNAcentral.